Molecule: long non-coding RNA, 591 nt
Organism: Miniopterus natalensis
Lineage: Eukaryota; Metazoa; Chordata; Mammalia; Chiroptera; Miniopteridae
Source: RefSeq, a predicted model, not a curated record
GGUCGCCUAGGAGCGGAAACGGUGGUUCUGGAUUUGUGACGUCCUGUGGUUACUAACUCUGGCCCUCCAGUCCCCUCCUUUUAAAGGGGUCACACAUUCUAAGAAUGUCGUCUGAAACCCUCCUUAGGAGUUGUUGCUCGGCCAGGUGACCGACCUCUAGGUGUGGACGGUCUCUGCGUCGGGGAGAAUUUUUCAGUCAACCAGGCCUCUUGACAGCGAAUGAGCUGCUGACCAGAUCGCUAAUCCCGGAUCGGUUGCAGGGAAGUAAGGAGGAAUCCAGAAAGCUUCUACUUUUUCAGAUAAGAAUGCUGACAUCCUGAUUUGCAUGCUCUUAUUUGGCUCCACCCUCUAAACCUCAAUGAGGGAUGGGGGGCAGAAAACAUCCCUCCAAGCCCAGAUGAGUGACAUGAAGUACCACGUGGUGAAGAGAAGGCGGUCAAUGGAACCUCAUCCUCUGAAGAUUUUUUACUCUAAACCACAUGCUGCUUCCUGGGCUCAUGAAGAAAUAUUACAGCAAAAAGACCGAAAACAGAUCCAACAGCAUAAGGCAAAAGAGAGCAGGUUAAUAAAAUUAGCUGAGAUGGGUUUUUU